This 509-nucleotide ribosomal RNA is filed under the name uncultured Glomus. RNAcentral's name for it is "SSU rRNA". It matches the Rfam family "Eukaryotic small subunit ribosomal RNA", at positions 569 to 1081 of the family's 1831-position model. The record is from RNAcentral. Lineage: Eukaryota; Fungi; Glomeromycota; Glomeromycetes; Glomerales; Glomeraceae.
AGCAGCCGCGGUAAUUCCAGCUCCAAUAGCGUAUAUUAAAGUUGUUGCAGUUAAAAAGCUCGUAGUUGAAUUUCGAGACCGGUUUAUUGGUCGUGCUUUUGUACGUACUGGUAUUAUUGGUUUCUCCUUUCUGACGAAUCUUAAUGCCAUUAAUUUGGUGUUUUGGGGAAUCAGGACUGUUACUUUGAAAAAAUUAGAGUGUUUAAAGCAGGCUCACGCUUGGAUACAUUAGCAUGGAAUAACGGAAUAGGACGUUUGAUUCUAUUUUGUUGGUUUCUAGGAUCGACGUAAUGAUUAAUAGGGAUAGUUGGGGGCAUUAGUAUUCAAUUGUCAGAGGUGAAAUUCUUGGAUUUAUUGAAGACUAACUACUGCGAAAGCAUUUGCCAAGGAUGUUUUCAUUAAUCAAGAACGAAAGUUAGGGGAUCGAAGACGAUCAGAUACCGUCGUAGUCUUAACCAUAAACUAUGCCGACUAGGGAUCGGAUGAUGUUAAUUUUUAAUGACUCAUUC